CAUGCAAGUCGAACGAGGAUAUACCUUUCGGGGUAUAAACCGAGUGGCGCAAGGGUGAGUAAUGCAUAGAUUACCUGCCUCUAGGAUAAGGACAACUUUGUGAAAACGAAGCUAAUACUUAAUAAUACAAGAGAGAAUAAUUCUUUUUUGUCAAUGGGAGGGUAGCAAUACCUUUUGCCUAGAGAGGGGUUUAUGUCCUAUCAGCUUGUUGGUGGGGUAAUGGCCUACCAAGGCGAAGACGGGUAGCCGGUCUUAGAGGAUGGUCGGCCACACUGGGACUGAGACACUGCCCAGACUUCUACGGAAGGCUGCAGUCGAGAAUCUUUCGCAAUGCCCGAAAGGGUGACGAAGCGACGCCGCGUGAGUGAGGAAGGCCUUCGGGUUGUAAAGCUCUGUCAGGUGUUAAGAAAUAUAAGUGUGCUAAUACCACAUUUAUUUGACAAAGGCGCCAAAGGAAGCCACGGCUAACUCUGUGCCAGCAGCCGCGGUAAUACAGAGGUGGCAAGCGUUGUUCGGAAUUAUUGGGCGUAAAGAGCACGUAGGUGGGUUCGUAAGUCAGAUGUGAAAGCCUUCUGUUCAACGGAAGAAUUGCAUCUGAAACUGCGAGUCUUGAGUGUAGGAGGGGAGAAUGGAACUUCUGGUGGAGCGGUGAAAUGCGUAGAUAUCAGAAGGAACGCCGGCGGCGAAAGCGAUUCUCUGGCCUAUUACUGACACUCAGUGUGCGAAAGCUAGGGGAGCAAACGGGAUUAGAUACCCCGGUAGUCCUAGCUGUAAACGAUGGGCACUAAGUAGAGGGAAUUACCGAUGUUCUCUCUGCCGUAGCUAACGCAUUAAGUGCCCCGCCUGGGGAGUACGGCCGCAAGGCUAAAACUCAAAAGAAUUGACGGGGGCUCGCACAAGCGGUGGAGCAUGUGGCUUAAUUCGAUGCAACGCGAAAAACCUUACCGGGGCUUGACAUGGUAGAAGUAGGAACCCGAAAGGGUAACGAACGGUAUCCAGUCCGUAGCUAUCACAGGUGUUGCAUGGCUGUCGUCAGCUCGUGUCGUGAGACGUUGGGUUAAGUCCCCUAACGAGCGAAACCCUUGUUUUUAGUUACCAGCGGGUUAUGCCGGGUACUCUAGAAAGACUGCCGUCGUCAAGACGGAGGAAGGUGGGGAUGACGUCAAGUCAUCAUGGCCCUUAUGCCCCGGGCUGCACACGUGCUACAAUGGUCGGUACAAACGGAAGCGAAGCCGAGAGGUGGAGCGAAUCCUAAAAAGCCGAUCUCAGUUCGGAUUGGAGGCUGAAAUUCGCCUCCAUGAAGUUGGAAUCGCUAGUAAUCGCGGAUCAGCAUUGCCGCGGUGAAUAUGUUCCCGAGCCUUGUACACACCGCCCGUCAAGCCACCCAAGCAGGAUGCACCCGAAAACAUUAUAUCUAACCAGGUUUACCUGGAGGAAAGUGUUGAAGGAGUGUUUUGUGAGGAGGACUAAGUCGUAACAAGGUAGUCGUAGGAGAACCUGCGGCUGGAUCACCUCCUUUCU
RNAcentral lists this ribosomal RNA (1521 nucleotides) under uncultured Planctomycetales bacterium. RNAcentral's name for it is "16S ribosomal RNA". It matches the Rfam family "Bacterial small subunit ribosomal RNA". Lineage: Bacteria; Pseudomonadati; Planctomycetota; Planctomycetia; Planctomycetales. The record is from RNAcentral.